UGGAUUUUGUGGAGCCUUUUACCAAAUCCACUCUGUGCAAUGGAGCACACGGCUCGUGCAUCGAUGAAGCCCGCGGCAAAAAGCGAUAUGUAAUGAGAUUCGUUAGCCUCGCGAUUCAUCAAAUUGGUGAACACAUACUGGACCUCUUCGGAGGUACUUGCGUUAGAGUGCUAGUUUUAUAUCAAUUGAGCCCGAUAAAAGGUGUUUUAAUCUUUAGGUUAUUACGCCCGAGUCGGAGAAGCCGGUUUCUCUUUGAGAAUCCGGAUUGUCCUCUGAGUUAUUAUUUUGGUUUAUUGAGAUCAGACAUACAGUAAGAAUAGUUAGACUAGCUGACCUAUGAACUGCGAUUACGCCCUUCUGAUCAUUAUUCAAUAAAGCGCUACGUAACUCCUUGGCAAUCACUUUUUUAUAACUGGCCUCUAAUGUGAGAGGGUACCCCCUGGAUUUAAGCAUAUUAAUAAGGGGAGGAAAAGAAAA
RNAcentral lists this ribosomal RNA (477 nucleotides) under Naegleria dobsoni. RNAcentral's name for it is "eukaryotic LSU rRNA". The stretch from base 29 to 173 matches the Rfam family "5.8S ribosomal RNA". Lineage: Eukaryota; Heterolobosea; Eutetramitea; Acrasida; Naegleriidae. The record is from RNAcentral.